This 1650-nucleotide ribosomal RNA is filed under the name Escherichia coli. RNAcentral's name for it is "partial 23S ribosomal RNA". It matches the Rfam family "Bacterial large subunit ribosomal RNA", at positions 1006 to 2640 of the family's 2925-position model. The record is from RNAcentral. Lineage: Bacteria; Pseudomonadati; Pseudomonadota; Gammaproteobacteria; Enterobacterales; Enterobacteriaceae.
CGUCGUGAAGAGGGAAACAACCCAGACCGCCAGCUAAGGUCCCAAAGUCAUGGUUAAGUGGGAAACGAUGUGGGAAGGCCCAGACAGCCAGGAUGUUGGCUUAGAAGCAGCCAUCAUUUAAAGAAAGCGUAAUAGCUCACUGGUCGAGUCGGCCUGCGCGGAAGAUGUAACGGGGCUAAACCAUGCACCGAAGCUGCGGCAGCGACGCUGAUGCGUUGUUGGGUAGGGGAGCGUUCUGUAAGCCUGUGAAGGUGUGCUGUGAGGCAUGCUGGAGGUAUCAGAAGUGCGAAUGCUGACAUAAGUAACGAUAAAGCGGGUGAAAAGCCCGCUCGCCGGAAGACCAAGGGUUCCUGUCCAACGUUAAUCGGGGCAGGGUGAGUCGACCCCUAAGGCGAGGCCGAAAGGCGUAGUCGAUGGGAAACAGGUUAAUAUUCCUGUACUUGGUGUUACUGCGAAGGGGGGACGGAGAAGGCUAUGUUGGCCGGGCGACGGUUGUCCCGGUUUAAGCGUGUAGGCUGGUUUUCCAGGCAAAUCCGGAAAAUCAAGGCUGAGGCGUGAUGACGAGGCACUACGGUGCUGAAGCAACAAAUGCCCUGCUUCCAGGAAAAGCCUCUAAGCAUCAGGUAACAUCAAAUCGUACCCCAAACCGACACAGGUGGUCAGGUAGAGAAUACCAAGGCGCUUGAGAGAACUCGGGUGAAGGAACUAGGCAAAAUGGUGCCGUAACUUCGGGAGAAGGCACGCUGAUAUGUAGGUGAAGUCCCUCGCGGAUGGAGCUGAAAUCAGUCGAAGAUACCAGCUGGCUGCAACUGUUUAUUAAAAACACAGCACUGUGCAAACACGAAAGUGGACGUAUACGGUGUGACGCCUGCCCGGUGCCGGAAGGUUAAUUGAUGGGGUCAGCGCAAGCGAAGCUCUUGAUCGAAGCCCCGGUAAACGGCGGCCGUAACUAUAACGGUCCUAAGGUAGCGAAAUUCCUUGUCGGGUAAGUUCCGACCUGCACGAAUGGCGUAAUGAUGGCCAGGCUGUCUCCACCCGAGACUCAGUGAAAUUGAACUCGCUGUGAAGAUGCAGUGUACCCGCGGCAAGACGGAAAGACCCCGUGAACCUUUACUAUAGCUUGACACUGAACAUUGAGCCUUGAUGUGUAGGAUAGGUGGGAGGCUUUGAAGUGUGGACGCCAGUCUGCAUGGAGCCGGCCUUGAAAUACCACCCUUUAAUGUUUGAUGUUCUAACGUUGACCCGUGAUCCGGGUUGCGGACAGUGUCUGGUGGGUAGUUUGACUGGGGCGGUCUCCUCCUAAAGAGUAACGGAGGAGCACGAAGGUUGGCUAAUCCUGGUCGGACAUCAGGAGGUUAGUGCAAUGGCAUAAGCCAGCUUGACUGCGAGCGUGACGGCGCGAGCAGGUGCGAAAGCAGGUCAUAGUGAUCCGGUGGUUCUGAAUGGAAGGGCCAUCGCUCAACGGAUAAAAGGUACUCCGGGGAUAACAGGCUGAUACCGCCCAAGAGUUCAUAUCGACGGCGGUGUUUGGCACCUCGAUGUCGGCUCAUCACAUCCUGGGGCUGAAGUAGGUCCCAAGGGUAUGGCUGUUCGCCAUUUAAAGUGGUACGCGAGCUGGGUUUAGAACGUCGUGAGACAGUUCGGUCCCUA